AGUGAACGCUGGCGGUAGGCCUAACACAUGCAAGUCGAACGGCAGCACAGUAAGAGCUUGCUCUUACGGGUGGCGAGUGGCGGACGGGUGAGGAAUACAUCGGAAUCUACUUUUUCGUGGGGGAUAACGUAGGGAAACUUACGCUAAUACCGCAUACGACCUACGGGUGAAAGCAUGGGAUCUUCGGACCUUGCGCGAUAGAAUGAGCCGAUGUCGGAUUAGCUAGUUGGCGGGGUAAAGGCCCACCAAGGCGACGAUCCGUAGCUGGUCUGAGAGGAUGAUCAGCCACACUGGAACUGAGACACGGUCCAGACUCCUACGGGAGGCAGCAGUGGGGAAUAUUGGACGAUGGGCGCAAGCCUGAUCCAGCCAAACCGCGUGGGUGGAGAAGGCCUUCGGGUUGUAAAGCCCUUUUGUUGGGAAAGAAAAGCAGCAGGUUAAUACCCCGCUGUUCUGACGGUACCCAAAGAAUAAGCACCGGCUAACUUCGUG
RNAcentral lists this ribosomal RNA (492 nucleotides) under uncultured bacterium. RNAcentral's name for it is "partial 16S ribosomal RNA". It matches the Rfam family "Bacterial small subunit ribosomal RNA", at positions 29 to 507 of the family's 1533-position model. The record is from RNAcentral.